RNAcentral lists this unclassified non-coding RNA (458 nucleotides) under Hevea brasiliensis (rubber tree). Lineage: Eukaryota; Viridiplantae; Streptophyta; Magnoliopsida; Malpighiales; Euphorbiaceae. The record is from RNAcentral.
AACCAAAAUUCUCAUAUUCGACUGGCAUCAACGAUGAUUGUCAUUAUUGAAGAGCGUAUAGAUCGACACAUAAUAGAAGAGCAAAGAAAUAUAAUUAUACAACAAAGUAAAUUUUUUCCCCUUCCAAGAGGCAGCAAAAUGUAAGAAUGCAAUUGGAGACAGAUGACAAAUGCCCAACCAAGUGUUAAGUUCAAUCCACCUAAAAUUGAAGUAUAACACUGGUAUUAGGGAAAAAUCUCCAUGAUCUUAAGGAUCUGAGGUGGUAAUUGUAAUCAGGAUAGAUAGGAUCUACAAUUCUUGGUGCCAGUCUAUAACAUUCAUUACUCCUUUUCAGCUAUAAAAAAUGAUAUUCAUCUUUGAAAUUCAUACUCACAAGCAAAUCAAGCAAUCGUUUUCUCAAAAUAGUUUCUAUAAUAUAAUUGGCAUACAUUUUUUUUAACAUGAACAAGGUUCAAUUU